This 460-nucleotide ribosomal RNA is filed under the name uncultured bacterium. Its description in RNAcentral is "partial 16S ribosomal RNA". It matches the Rfam family "Bacterial small subunit ribosomal RNA", at positions 338 to 795 of the family's 1533-position model. The record is from RNAcentral.
CCUACGGGUGGCAGCAGUGAGGAAUAUUGGUCAAUGGGCGCGAGCCUGAACCAGCCAAGUAGCGUGAAGGAAGACUGCCCUACGGGUUGUAAACUUCUUUUAUAAAGGAAUAAAGUGAGGCACGUGUGCCUUUAUGAAUGUACCUGAUGAAUAAGCAUCGGCUAACUCCGUGCCAGCAGCCGCGGUAAUACGGAGGAUCCGAGCGUUAUCCGGAUUUAUUGGGUUUAAAGGGGGCGUAGAUGGGUUGUUAAGUCAGUUGUGAAAGGUUGCGGCUCAACCGUAAAAUUGCAAUUGAUACUGGCAGUCUUGAGUACGGUAGAGGUAGGCGGAAUGCGUGGUGUAGCGGUGAAAUGCUUAGAUAUCACGCAGAACUCCGAUUGCGAAGGCAGCUUACUAGACUGACACUGACAUUGAUGCUCGAAAGUGUGGGUAUCGAACAGGAUUAGAUACCCGUGUAGUC